Molecule: long non-coding RNA, 1014 nt
Filed under: Vulpes vulpes (red fox)
Lineage: Eukaryota; Metazoa; Chordata; Mammalia; Carnivora; Canidae
Description: lncRNA (ENSVVUG00000001172.1)
Source: RNAcentral
CGGAAAUCAAUCCGUAAUCUAACCAGCAAAAAUAAGGAAAAGGAAAAAGAAGGAAAAAGAAUAUAAAAAUGCAGUCAAUUAAAAAAAAAUGCAGUCAAUUGUAUGACUCAACAUAUUCACUCCCAAAAUGACUGCCUUAGGCAAAAUCAUGGAAGUGAAAACUCACAAGGUUUAUAGGAAAAAUGGGGUGAUGACUAUGGUCCUUAAAACCUUUAUCACUGGUGAUAAGAAGAUUGUAACCUAAUUAAAAAUGGGCGGGACAGCUUUAUACAUGCUAAGUUGUUAAAAUAACACGAAAACACUUUAGCAAAUAUGUUAGAUUAUCUUAAAAAGACUGCAGUUUGCUGGUGAAAGUGGGAGCUGGAGCUGGAGUGGUUGCAGAGUGACCUUCUGUGAAGGGAUAGAGGGAGGGUUAUCAGCAUUUGCAGUCUUUGGCAGCAGUAAAUCUGGAAGCGUGUUUGCCUUUGAGAUGUGGGUCCUUCAAGGCACAUGUUCAUGAGAGAUCCUUGUUUCAUCAGUAUUUAAAAUUUCAUCCGAUGCCUGGCCUUCUUUUUGACUGACUUGUGUAUUCCUGCUGGACAGGCACCAUCUGUGGGUUUCUCACGUGCACUCACAGCUUUGCCCACAGGGGAUUGCAGUGAUGUUCGGAACCACCAAAACAGUCGCCUCGUAGCAUUAAAAGGAGCCAAGUCUGCAGGGUUUGGUCUUGUCCUUAUCGACUUUCACAGCACUUGGAGUCGUCCCAGGCACAAACACUUAUUUUUGGUUAAGGCCAGCCAGUAGUUUUCUGCCUUUAAGGAUAUUCAUGAAAUGAUUCAUAAGAAAACAUGAAACUUAUUUCCAAAUUUUUCCAUAACAUGUCAAUCAUGUUGGAACAAAUUCAUAUUUUAAAAUAAUCACCAUAGCAGAACUGACUGUAUAUGAUAAAUAANGUCUUGAAGAUAAAAUCAAUAGGAUUUUCUAAUGGAUUGGAUGUAAGAUAAGAGAGAGAGAGAAAGGUAAUUAAUGAUUUCA